Molecule: ribosomal RNA, 111 nt
Filed under: Caerostris darwini
Lineage: Eukaryota; Metazoa; Arthropoda; Arachnida; Araneae; Araneidae
Source: RNAcentral
AACGGCCGUACCAUGCUGAAUAUACCGGUUCUCGUUAGAUCACCGAAGUUAAGCAUCAUUGGGCGCGGUCAGUACUUGGGUGGGUGACCACCUGGGAACACCGCGCGCCGU